GCAAUUGCUGCCAAAUGUGCAUCAACAAAGUAUAGAGCAAAUUAUGUGAAUGGUUAUGUACUUUUUAUUGUUAAUACAUUUGCAAAAUUUCCAAAAAUACGAUUUUCCACAUUGUCAUUAUGGGCUAUUAUGUGUAGAAUUUUGAGGACAAAAACACAUGUAUUCCAUUAAUAUAACACAUUGUGGAAAAAGUGACGCACUAUAAAUUUUUUCCCGAAUGCACUGUACCUCAGUUUUCCUACAGACAGACCUAGGCUACUGCAAUGUGCCAAUGCAGUCCAGAAGAUCUGGCAGAACCUACCCCAUCAGUUGUGGCCUGUUCCCGAUACUGUCAGAAUAAGUUUUCCUACGCCCCUCCCCCUUUCAUAGGAUUUGUUUUUUGAUGAAAACAUUCCCAAAGUAAGUUUUAAGUGCCAGUACUGUAAUAUAUAGGUUAACAAACAUUUAAUUAUACAUGAAACUCUUAGUGAACUACUUCCUCCCUCUCGGUUUAUUGCUGUUUACUGAUACAGUUUUGUGGCUGUGAAUACAUGGUUGCCCUUUCCUAUCAGCUCCAGACUAUUCACCCCUUCAUACCAGGACACACAAAAGGUCUCGGGACAGCCGCGACCACAAUGCCGAUGGUUGGCUGAGGUGAAGUAGAGAUUGGACUACCACAAAGCCCAUUGCUGUCAUCCACUGUCUUGGUUUUACCCUCUAUGGGUAAUGUUGGAGACGACAGAGUUGCAGUUUGAGGCUGGAAGCAGUGCAUGUCGGCGGUGGGGACAAAAGCUGAGCCCGUUUGCAGGGGUUUAACCUCUGAAGGCAAGAAAAACAAUAUUAUGACUAUUAAUUGUCUGUGAUUAUCAUCAUUGAAUUCAUCCAGGGCAUUGAAUUAAUCACAAGUGGACUGUUCAGGUUGUUUUAAAAGACCUUUCGCUUCUCAUCUGAGUGGGCUUAUUCAGUUCAUGCUCAAGACUAGAUAGCACAGUUCUAGUCUGAGAGCACGCUGUGGGAUCCAAAACUGAACGUCUUCUAAGACAACCUGAACAGUCCUCUCAAUCAAGUCAAUAUAUGACUAGUAACUGUGUUCCAUUAGGAAUUGCAUAAGAAAUUGCCAUUACAAUAAUAAAUAAUAUAUAUGUGUGUAAUGAUUCGUUUUAACAAGGAUUUGAUUCUAUUCAGAAUUUGUGGUUGCCAAUAUGAUUCAGGGACGCUAAUAUUUUUUGGGAAUUAUAUGAUCCGAAAAGAUUCAGUGAGUUGAGAUCGAUUCAGUAGUUUUUUAGCAAAAGAUUCCACCAGUGUGACUGUAAAAUACAUACUAGAUACUGCAGGUGAAGUUUUCUAUAUUCCUGUAUAUUCUUGUAAGGGAAUUAAUGAAAGUUACAGUGGUUAAAAUAGCCCAAAAUAAUGUGUACUUUAAUGUCUAUUGAUCAUGUCAUGUAUUACCUUCAGUGCAACCUCAUCCGUAAAUGUACAGUACAUGAUACUCAGUAAUACAUUGCAGUUGUCUUGGCACAUAAAAUGUCCUUAACUUUAUAGUCAAAUAUUCAAAAUUUUCAAAGCAGGCUAUCUGUGUUGGCUUUGCGAAAAGGUGCCGUCCAAGGUGUACACUGCCUAGGACAGGGGUCUGCAACCUUUACCACUCAAAAAACCAUUUUGACCCGUUUCACAAAAUAAAGAAGACAAUGGGAGCCGCAACCAUUCUCGCCAAUAUCUGCUGGUGGUCAUCCAGACAACAAUAAUAAGGGCGUGCUAUGAAGCCAUUGUCUUAGACGCCUUCUACAACAUGUAUAAAAUGCUUGGCAGUCCAGCAAAAUGUUGUAUGUGGCUUCCGCAGAUACACGUACACGACUGCAAGGCAUACUGGGUGAUACAGUUUACACUGACGGUUGUGAUAUAAACAUCUUUAACACUCUUACUAAUUAAUAUGCACCACACUGUGAACCCACAACAAACAAGAAUGACAAACACAUUUCAGGAGAACCUCCCCACAGUAACACAACAUAAACGCAACACAACAAAUACCCAGAA
Nerophis ophidion (straightnose pipefish) is the source of this 2013-nucleotide long non-coding RNA. RefSeq lists it as uncharacterized. NCBI's taxonomy places the organism in Eukaryota, Metazoa, Chordata, Actinopteri, Syngnathiformes, Syngnathidae. The transcript is spliced from 3 exons. The record is from RefSeq and is a predicted model, not a curated record.